AACGAACGCUGGCGGCAUGCCUAACACAUGCCAGUCGAACGAGACCUUCGGGUCUUGUGGCGCAUGGGUGCGUACCACGUGGGAACCUGCCCUUAGGUUCGGAACAACUCCCCGAAAGGGGUGCUAAUACCGGAUAAUGUCUUCGGACCAAAGAUUUAUCGCGUUUGGAUGGGCCCGCGUUGGAUUGGCGAGUUGGUAGUGUAAUAGCAUGCCAAGGCGACGAUGCAUAGCUGGUCUGAGAGGAUGAUAAGCUACACUGGGGAUGAGACACGGCCCAGACUGGGACGGGAGGGAGGAGAGUGGUAUAUUGGAGGAUGAGGGAAGGUGUAGUCCAGCAGUGCGGGGGAUGAGAGGAAUGCCUUAGGGUUGUGAUGCUGUUUUACCCGGGGUGAUAGUGACGGUACCGGGUGAAUAAGCACCGGCUAACUACGUG
This 433-nucleotide ribosomal RNA is filed under the name uncultured bacterium. Its description in RNAcentral is "partial 16S ribosomal RNA". It matches the Rfam family "Bacterial small subunit ribosomal RNA", at positions 29 to 507 of the family's 1533-position model. The record is from RNAcentral.